Symsagittifera roscoffensis is the source of this 1413-nucleotide long non-coding RNA. RefSeq lists it as uncharacterized. The transcript has 3 exons. The record is from RefSeq and is a predicted model, not a curated record. Lineage: Eukaryota; Metazoa; Xenacoelomorpha; Acoela; Convolutidae.
GCUGACGAAUCCAAAACAGUUGUUUUUGAAUACAUCAAUUGAUAAAUAAUUAACCCUUCUAUUUCUCAUUAACCGAAAAAAAGUUAAAUUCUUUUCGCUCAUCGGUCAGUUUAGCACUAUAUUGAUAAUUUCGGCUUUAUGUAAAAGAAGAUUGAAAACUUAAAAUCAACUGGACAAAUUCUCGAAGAUGGUAGUUUCUAAAGGAUUCAAAAUUUUGAUGUUUGCAAUAACUUUUGCUUCUUGGAGCCAGCAAGAAAGUGCAACGAGGUUCGGUCUGUAUCGGAAACUUUAUGGAACUUUGCUGAAAACAGAGUUUAUACUCAGGCAAAUAAAAAAAAUUAAUAUACAGAAAUGCAUUCAAAUGUGCUACUUUGACAAAAAAUGCGUAAGUUUUGCGUACGGAAACUUCAUAUGCGUUCUUUACUCAACAGACCCAAGAGCACAACUGGACGAAAGUUCUCUUAUUAGAUCAAGUAAUUCGCCACUGACUAUGUAUAUAAUAUCAUCUGAUAAUGCAAUACCGUGCAAUAUAGGCAACCUUGCGGCGUAUUCUAAUUCGGAUUUGGAAGAAUGCGGAUUUGAUGAAAAAACUACUGAUUCAAAUUGCGAAGGUGAAUGGUCAAGCUGGAAUUUGCGUUUGGACACAACCUGCAACGAAAACGCAAAAGUUUUCCGAUGGAGAAAACACUCUAGAAACUGCACGGAGCCUCUAUUUGGAGGAAGAACUUGGGCUUGCUUGGAGAAAUGGUCGACAGUUCCGUUGUUGUUGCAAGAUUCGAAGGCGACCUUCCACGAAGCGAAAACGGUUUGUGGUAAUCUAGGCAAAGAGCUGUUCACAGGCUUGUAUUGGAUCUACGAGCAAACGUUGACCUCUGAACUGUCGGGCCUUUUUUGGACGGGGUUCAAGCGAUUCGAGAUGUUGGAAGAAUUUCAAGAUGAGAAUGGAGAACAAUUUUUGAAAGAACCCUGCUCGAACGUUUGGGUUGGACGCGAGCCCACUUUUGGUGCCGGCGAAAAAUAUGUUCUUUUCAGUUUGAACAAUGGCUGGACAGAUGGCCUCCAUGAUUACCGAAUAACGCCUUCAGCAAGAGUGGUGUGUGACAACUGGAUUUUAGACGAAACCUUUAGCGCCAAUACGUGCAAAGAUGGCUACUUCUCACUUGUUUGAAAAAUUCGGAUGGUUUUGAUCUAUAAUAUAGCCCAAAAUAAAAGCAGCUGUUUUUUUUUAAUUUAUGGAGAACAAAUCAUAUUUCAAUAGUAUUAACCAAACUUUUCAAGUUAAAAAAAAUCAGCAAAGGUGGGCUAUAUAACCUUAAAAAACGCUGCCCGCUAUAUAUUUGCAAAAAAAACUAGGAUGGCCGGUUAAUGUACAAGUACAAUGUUCUGACCAGAAUGUUCCAGGAUAUUACAGAA